CAAUAUUUGAACAAAUUAAAACGAGUUUUGCAUCUAGUAAACACCUACCAAUUUAUGUUAUGCUUUUAAUUUGAGAAAGAAAUAACAAAGCAGUGGCUUAAGUGAUGGCUGAACACCCCAGUUGGUGGGAAGGCUAGACCAGCCACAGUAGAAUGGCCAUUGCAGUUCUAUACUCUUUGUUUAACCACGUUCAAUCCAACUAGAAUCAAACAUCAAGCUCACAAGCUCCCUGGACGAUUCACAAUCAUCACAAUGGUUUUCAAAAUAUACUUUUGGAUGUUUUCUUGUCACUAUGAUACAUGAAAUUGUAUUCAGUAAGCAUUUCAAAGUUCUGUACAGGUGUGUUCUUCCCGAAAACCUCGCAAAAGUGAAACCCACAAGCCUGGCUGUCAAACAAAUUCAAAUUGAAGAUAUGCACAGCAUGACCCCAUUUAUAGUCGCAUGUUCCUUUUGUUCUGCAUAAUCAUUCCCCAUUGCUUCGCCCAAGUGGAGAUUGAUUUCAAAAAUUUCCAUCAAAACAUUAAUUCUCCUUUCAACCAUUUCUAAGCACUUCUUCCUCUGUUUGCAUAUAUCUUUGAGAAA
Populus euphratica (Euphrates poplar) is the source of this 582-nucleotide long non-coding RNA. RefSeq lists it as uncharacterized. Lineage: Eukaryota; Viridiplantae; Streptophyta; Magnoliopsida; Malpighiales; Salicaceae. The transcript has 3 exons. The record is from RefSeq and is a predicted model, not a curated record.